GGCAAGAUGGCCGAGCGGUCUAAGGCGCCACGUUAAGGUUACCAAAACCCUUAAUCUCCUCUCCAGAGUUCCGUGGUCCGAAAGGGCGUGGGUUCGAAUCCCACUCUUGUCA
This is a transfer RNA of Sordaria macrospora k-hell, 112 nucleotides long. It matches the Rfam family "tRNA". Rfam says of the family: Transfer RNA (tRNA) molecules are approximately 80 nucleotides in length. Their secondary structure includes four short double-helical elements and three loops (D, anti-codon, and T loops). Further hydrogen bonds mediate the characteristic L-shaped molecular structure. tRNAs have two regions of fundamental functional importance: the anti-codon, which is responsible for specific mRNA codon recognition, and the 3' end, to which the tRNAs corresponding amino acid is attached (by aminoacyl-tRNA synthetases). tRNAs cope with the degeneracy of the genetic code in two manners: having more than one tRNA (with a specific anti-codon) for a particular amino acid; and 'wobble' base-pairing, i.e. permitting non-standard base-pairing at the 3rd anti-codon position. The record is from Rfam. NCBI's taxonomy places the organism in Eukaryota, Fungi, Ascomycota, Sordariomycetes, Sordariales, Sordariaceae.